UUGUUGUGUAGUCUAGGCUGGCCUUGAACUCACUAUGUAGCCCAGGCUGGCCUCAAACUCAAAGCAAUCCUCCUGCCUCAGCCUCCCGAGUGCUGGGAUUACAGGCGUGCGCCACCAUGCCCG
RNAcentral lists this microRNA precursor (123 nucleotides) under Fukomys damarensis (Damara mole-rat). RNAcentral describes it as "miRNA (ENSFDAG00000004000.1)". Lineage: Eukaryota; Metazoa; Chordata; Mammalia; Rodentia; Bathyergidae. The record is from RNAcentral.